RNAcentral lists this ribosomal RNA (253 nucleotides) under uncultured bacterium. RNAcentral's name for it is "partial 16S ribosomal RNA". It matches the Rfam family "Bacterial small subunit ribosomal RNA", at positions 524 to 776 of the family's 1533-position model. The record is from RNAcentral.
UACGUAGGGUGCGAGGGUUGUCCGGAAUUAUUGGGCGUAAAGGGCUCGUGGGCGGUUUGUCGCGUCGGGAGUGAAAACACACAGCUUAACUGUGUGCUUGCUUCCGAUACGGGCAGACUAGAGGUAUGCAGGGGAGAACGGAAUUCCUGGUGUAGCGGUGAAAUGCGCAGAUAUCAGGAGGAACACCGGUGGCGAAGGCGGUUCUCUGGGCAUUACCUGACGCUGAGGCGCGAAAGCUAGGGGAGCAAACAGG